This 236-nucleotide signal recognition particle RNA is filed under the name bovine gut metagenome. RNAcentral's name for it is "Bacterial large signal recognition particle RNA". It matches the Rfam family "Bacterial large signal recognition particle RNA", at positions 7 to 236 of the family's 256-position model. Rfam says of the family: The signal recognition particle (SRP) is a universally conserved ribonucleoprotein involved in the co-translational targeting of proteins to membranes. Archaeal SRP consists of a 7S RNA and homologues of the eukaryotic SRP19 and SRP54 proteins. RNAcentral also lists the same sequence under 1 other name. The record is from RNAcentral.
UGCAGCCGGGGAGAUAGCGGUGCCCUGUACCUGCAACCCGCUAUAGCAGGGGUGAUGGAUUGUUGCGGCUCCAUUUUGCAGGGCAGCCCUUUGAAAGUGGCGUUGACGCCGGGGUCCUGCGCAACGGGAUACCAUGAACCGUGUCAGGGUAGGAAUACAGCAGCACUAAGUGGAGCGUUUCGUGUGCCGCGGGGAAGCCUUAGCCGAGUUAACUACAGAGGUAACGCCUGUGAUGU